RNAcentral lists this transfer RNA (67 nucleotides) under Galerucinae sp. 7 ACP-2013. RNAcentral's name for it is "tRNA-Ser". Lineage: Eukaryota; Metazoa; Arthropoda; Insecta; Coleoptera; Chrysomelidae. The record is from RNAcentral.
UAGUUAAUGAACUUGUAAAAGUAUUUACUUUGAAAGUAAAAAAAAGAACUAAUAUUUUCUAUUAACU